UACAUGGGGUGCAAACGUUGCUCGGAAUUAUUGGGCGUAAAGCGCGCGUAGGCGGUUACUCAAGUCGGAUGUGAAAGCCCUCGGCUUAACUGAGGAAGUGCACCCGAAACUGAGUAGCUAGAGUACUAAAGAGGGUCGCGGAAUUCCCGGUGUAGAGGUGAAAUUCGUAGAUAUCUGGAGGAACACCGGUGGCGAAGGCGGCGUCCUGGACCAACACUGACACUGAUGAGCGAAAGCCAGGGGAGCAAACGGG
This 253-nucleotide ribosomal RNA is filed under the name uncultured bacterium. RNAcentral's name for it is "partial 16S ribosomal RNA". It matches the Rfam family "Bacterial small subunit ribosomal RNA", at positions 524 to 776 of the family's 1533-position model. The record is from RNAcentral.